UACGUAGGGCGCAAGCGUUAUCCGGAAUUAUUGGGCGUAAAGAGCUCGUAGGCGGUUUGUCGCGUCUGCCGUGAAAGUCCGGGGCUCAACUCCGGAUCUGCGGUGGGUACGGGCAGACUAGAGUGAUGUAGGGGAGACUGGAAUUCCAGGUGUAGCGGUGAAAUGCGUAGAUAUCUGGAGGAACACCGGUGGCGAAGGCGGCAUCCUGGACCGAUAUUGACGCUGAUGCGCGAAAGCCAGGGGAGCAAACGGG
Molecule: ribosomal RNA, 253 nt
Filed under: uncultured bacterium
Lineage: Bacteria
Description: partial 16S ribosomal RNA
Rfam family: Bacterial small subunit ribosomal RNA
Source: RNAcentral